Molecule: transfer RNA, 85 nt
Filed under: Nitrososphaerota archaeon
Lineage: Archaea; Thermoproteati; Nitrososphaerota
Description: Thaumarchaeota archaeon tRNA-Leu
Rfam family: tRNA
About the family: Transfer RNA (tRNA) molecules are approximately 80 nucleotides in length.
Source: RNAcentral
GCAGGGGUACCAAAGCCUGGUCAACUGGACGGGACUCAAGAUCCCGUCUCUUAGGAGUUCGUGGGUUCAAAUCCCACCCCCUGCA